Molecule: long non-coding RNA, 1715 nt
Organism: Ornithorhynchus anatinus (platypus)
Lineage: Eukaryota; Metazoa; Chordata; Mammalia; Monotremata; Ornithorhynchidae
Exons: 6
Source: RefSeq, a predicted model, not a curated record
UCCACUGCCUUAGCACAGGAAAGGGGUGUGAUGAAAUGUGGGGGAAACGAGCUUCUUCUGCCUUUUACUUUCUGGCUAACAGGAAGUAGAGUGUGAAGCUCUUCUUGGGUUUGAUUUUUUGUUCUUUGAGUUAUGCUUUUCUCUUUCUCACAAAGGAGUGAGACAAACAAGGUGCCCAUCCUCACUGUCAAUCAAUAGUAUUUUCCGAGGGUUUUCUCUGUGCAGGGCACUGGACUGAAUGCGUUGGAGAGUUUGAUAGAAUUAGUGGACAUUGCCCCUUCUCUCAUGGACCUUCGGGAGGAGGCGGAUGCUAAAAUGAAUUACAGGCCAGGAGGCUCAGAGAAUGGAAGACAGUCUGGACGUUUGGAGGAGAGAUGCCUGCAGCAGGAGUGUGAGUUAAUAAAGGAGUAAGCCGGUCUGGACUGCUGUCAUCUCUGGCAGAACAUUCACAUUCCUUGUGCCUCAGUCAACCCAGCUGGAAAAUUGGGCAGAAUCGAAACCUUCAAUGAAAAGCAAAUGUCAGCUGAGGACAGCUCUCCCAGUUGAACGCUGAUCUGCGGGGGCUGGGAGCUCCCUCCCUCUCCCUCUUGGAGCUCUUUGGGAGGAGAUGAGAAGGUACUGUCUGUCGAGUAGCUCAUAGGUCUUGAAGGCACGCCGCUGGAGAUUCUGGGCCAGCGACCCAGAGGUUAGAAAGGGCUCUGGUGGAAAGGGCCAUUUUAGGAUAAGGGGAUGGCUAAGAAUAUGGGCCUGGGGAGCUGACUUGAGGCCAGAGAAGGAUUUAAUGGGAUGGUGUUUUGGUGUCUCCGUCCAUUUCAGCAGAGCUGACUUUGCUUCCAGCUACUUGUGAGAGAGACUGAUUUACAUAUGGAGUCAUUUCAUUUGAAAUUGACUUCCUCCGGUUGUGUCAUGCGGAUAUAGAAAACCUAGCAAGCCAACAAGAUAACACCAUGCCAGAAGCUGCUGUGAAAGCAACCAGGGACCUACUUAUGGACUGAAAUGACUGCAGCAGAGUGCUCAUGCUGUGCUGAAGUGCCAUGACCGGCAGAUAGGUGCCUCGGUAAUCAACCAAUGAAUAUAAGACGACCGUUGUAUUCGAGAAAGAAGACAAAUGGCACCCAAACUUGGGAAAGAGUCGUUGGGGCAGUUGAGUCUCCAAGCAACCAGACUGAUUGGCAGAGACCGGAAUGAGGUCACUUUGGAAUGUUCAGAACCCAACAAGCUCAGUCUUGCUACUAGGUAACAAAAUUGAAGAUUGAAAGAUGUACAUGGAGGACAGAAGAGAAAAUGGAGGAGAAUGCAGGAAGUUUUGGUUUGACAUGGGGGCUGCUAUAAUGCUGAUGAAAAUGUAUGUUCCUUGAAGAAGUAAAGGCAAGGAGAUUGGUCAGGUCAUAAGACUUUCUGUGGGAGGUGCAACAGAUCCUCAAACCUCUUAGCCACUUGUAUUUCUUCUUUAUAUCUACACUCAUCCUCUUUUAACUUAUUUUCCAGCAAUUUAUCUCAGUUUGCUUUUCCUCUUAGAUUUUUGGUCACUAGGUGGGAGAGUUGGGAUGGGCUUCCAAAGGAUGGGGCAGAGAGAACAGGCAGGAGACAGAGAGAGGUGAAGUGAAUAUACUUGAGGAAGAAGGCAUGAGGGGAGUUGGCAGGUUUGGGUGAGAAAGAUGGGAAGAUAAGGCUGCUCGCUGAGGGCAGGGAAUGUGUCUACCAACUCCGUUAUA